AUGCUGCUGAGCCUCAAGAAAGAUGUGAGGUUUUAUGAAUUUCAGGAUCAUCCAUUCUUUCUCCUUGUCUUCCUGUCACUCACACCCCAUCUGCCCCUCAAGUCAGCUGCACCUGUGUUCCCUUCCCUUCCCUUCCCUUCCCUUCCCUUCCCUUCCCUUCCCUUCCCUUCCCUUCCCUUCCCUUCCCUUCCCUUCCCUUCCCUUCCCUUCCCUUCCCUUCCCUUCCCUUCCCUUCCCUUCCCUUCCCUUCCCUCUUCAGCCUGGAAGAUUCUGUUCUCACUAAUCUCUGACCUCCUGCCAUUGUUUGUGCCCUCAUUCAGGUAUCUCUGUCCUCUUUGGCCAGUCAACUCAUGCAUACUGAAACAUCCCAAGAUUUGCAAGCAGCUGUCACCAGGUGUUAACUGGAGAUAUGCCAGGGCCUUUCCAGGCACUGCGAAUAAUGGUUUAAUUGCUGGGUCUCUGUGUUUGUGCUUCAUCCACUACAAAGAAGAAAAUAAGAGGGAAUAUAAAUAUAGGAAUGGACAUGCUGGUUGUAGAUGGAGCUUCCUAGUAUGUUUGAAUGACUGCCAGCAACCUCUCUGUUACUUACAGCACACAUAUUUGUCUCCUGUUUGUGUUGCAUAUUUUCUCAACAAAUGAUUUUGUCUACAUGACAUAAAACAUUCUUUGUGUUGGAGGGAAUUACUAUGAGCUGUUCUUUCCUUUAAAUAGUAUGACAAUGAACAAUAAUAAUCCACAAAGAGAGAAAGUCCUUGAUAUGAAAAAUGUCAUCUUUCUAAAACCUAGAUACUGUUCUGUUGCUUCUGUCCAAGUUUUAUUGUAACAGCUGAGGUGCGGAAUGGGACAGAAGGCCAUUGAGAGCAGCAGCAUCCUAGUGUCUUUCCUAAUCUCUAUCAUGAUGCUGAUGGAGGAAACCCUCUUUAAGAACCAUUUUAGUCUUUCUUGCAUUUUGUUCUACAUUCUCAGGUAUAAAACCCAGAAAUCAACUUAAAGAAAUAGAGCUAACCUUUCAAUAGAGCAGUUGUGUAAUAGAGAGUGGCUUUCUCUCAACAAUUUCUCGACUGAUACUCUGGAGCCUUCUCAACGUCUCCUCAUCUUCCUCCUGCCAGAACUUCUCCCUGCUUACCCCUCUGAUAUUUUCUCUGAUGCUUCUCAGGCUGCAAGUAGUGGGACUUUAUUUUCACAUCUUGUCAACUUCAGAAAGAUUGGAAUUGCCUGGGUUACAGAUCAUGUGUGUGGAAAGAUGGUAAUUACACAGAAACUGUGUAGGCUCCCAGGUAACUAGUGGGUACAAGGCUUUUGUUACACUUAUCCCAUUCUAACAAGCCUGACAUAUUCUGUUGUAUCAUUUGAUUCUCUGGGUGAAUAUGGUCCCCUCAUUGCUAACGUGUUCACCCUAAUUACAGUUUUCUUAACACACGUGUUUUAAAGACCGUGUGGUUUUAUCUGUUGGCGUAGUAGGCUCAGUGAUUGUACUCCUGAUUUAUGUUGCACUACUGGAGACUACAGUAAGAAACAGAUAUGUGUAUGGGUCCAAGGAAGUGAUUAAGGUAGAAAGGCAAAAAAUUUCUCCUCUGCUGCUGUGCUCCAGUAGCUGAAGGCCCCCUGUAAGCAAAUAAUGCAAUCAUUUAACAAAUUUCAUUGGCAACUGAGGCAGACAGGCAGGGCACUGGCUUUAACUUCUGUAUUUGACUUUGCAAUUAGGCCGGAGGGAUUUAUUUUCAAUUUGCAAAAGCCAAUCUAAUUCAUCAGCACAAGAGGCUAUAGGGAGGAUGUUCAGGCGAUUAAAACUGAUCACUGUGAUCCAUUUUGGGCAGCAAAACAGUGCCAUAUUGUUAAUUCUGAUGCCAGUCAGCAAGGGGAAUUCCUGCAGCAUGGACUGGAGUUUGUUAUGGGCCAGCACUGCUCAUAACUUUGUGACAGCAGCAACCCCCUCCAACCCUCACUGACAGUGAGCGAGGAUGUGGUAUUUUGGGUCUAUGGUUCAAGGUACUGGGAGCCCUGCCACAUCUAUUUGUGGUGUGGGUGCAGCAGCUGGAGCUGAGUGGUCUCUGCAGGUCCUGCUGAAUCCCUCUGUCCCUCAGCAGGACUUACAAGCAUAGGAAUGGUGCCACAUGGAUGUACCCAGACAGCUCAGGUCUGGAUAUGUGCCCAGACUGGUAAACCCACUAGGAAAAUUUCUGCAGAGAGUUUAAACUUAGUAGGAUUACACCUUGUCAGAGCUUGUAGGAAAUCCCAUGACUGACUUGAUUUCUGGAUGCUUCUGCCUUGGGCUUCUUGGUGCACAAGGGAAUAUGAGGGUAGUGCAGACAGCAGCUCAAAAUCUGCUAAUGUCUGGUGCAGCUCAUUAGCCUGGGCCAGGUGCCAGCUCAGCUCCAUCCAAGCUCUGCAAACAGCUCCUGCAAACAGUAUGGUCCUGCUAGUGUGACACUGUAUAUGAAUGAACAAAGCCCACCAGACCCAGAUCCAUGCUGUUUGAGCCUGAGACUUGUUUGGACCACUCUAUGUUGCUGUCAGAACAACUGUAGAUUGAGUUGUCUAUCCCUGCAUUUAUUCAUUAUGCGGCACUGGACUAGAAGGAAGCUAGUAUAGAAACUACUACUCUCAACAAUGAAAGCGCUAUGAAGUGUUGUGCUGGGAGGUAUUUGUGACAGCAAAUAAAUUUGAUGGAAAAAUGUUAAAGGUAUUUUCA
RNAcentral lists this long non-coding RNA (2692 nucleotides) under Coturnix japonica (Japanese quail). RNAcentral describes it as "lncRNA (ENSCJPG00005017253.1)". Lineage: Eukaryota; Metazoa; Chordata; Aves; Galliformes; Phasianidae. The record is from RNAcentral.